This 253-nucleotide ribosomal RNA is filed under the name uncultured bacterium. RNAcentral's name for it is "partial 16S ribosomal RNA". It matches the Rfam family "Bacterial small subunit ribosomal RNA", at positions 524 to 776 of the family's 1533-position model. The record is from RNAcentral.
UACGUAGGGCGCCAGCGUUAUCCGGAAUUAUUUGGCGUAAAGAGCUCGUAGGCGGUUUGUCGCGUCUGCCGUGAAAGUCCGGGGCUCAACUCCGGAUCUGCGGUGGGUACGGGCAGACUAGAGUGAUGUAGGGGAGACUGGAAUUCCUGGUGUAGCGGUGAAAUGCGCAGAUAUCAGGAGGAACACCGAUGGCGAAGGCAGGUCUCUGGGCAUUAACUGACGCUGAGGAGCGAAAGCAUGGGGAGCGAACAGG